GUUUUUAUAGUUUAUAAAAAACAUUGGUCUUGUAAGUCAAAAUUAAGAUUCUUUCUUUAAAAACU
RNAcentral lists this transfer RNA (65 nucleotides) under Rinaca jonasii. Its description in RNAcentral is "Saturnia jonasii tRNA-Thr". It matches the Rfam family "tRNA". Rfam says of the family: Transfer RNA (tRNA) molecules are approximately 80 nucleotides in length. Their secondary structure includes four short double-helical elements and three loops (D, anti-codon, and T loops). Further hydrogen bonds mediate the characteristic L-shaped molecular structure. tRNAs have two regions of fundamental functional importance: the anti-codon, which is responsible for specific mRNA codon recognition, and the 3' end, to which the tRNAs corresponding amino acid is attached (by aminoacyl-tRNA synthetases). tRNAs cope with the degeneracy of the genetic code in two manners: having more than one tRNA (with a specific anti-codon) for a particular amino acid; and 'wobble' base-pairing, i.e. permitting non-standard base-pairing at the 3rd anti-codon position. The record is from RNAcentral. Lineage: Eukaryota; Metazoa; Arthropoda; Insecta; Lepidoptera; Saturniidae.